Molecule: ribosomal RNA, 94 nt
Filed under: Pseudoalteromonas lipolytica
Lineage: Bacteria; Pseudomonadati; Pseudomonadota; Gammaproteobacteria; Alteromonadales; Pseudoalteromonadaceae
Description: partial 16S ribosomal RNA
Rfam family: Bacterial small subunit ribosomal RNA
Source: RNAcentral
GGAGGACGUUCACCACGGAGUGAUUCAUGACUGGGGUGAAGUCGUAACAAGGUAGCCCUAGGGGAACCUGGGGCUGGAUCACCUCCUUAUACGA